CUCUCCUCUUCCCGGUGCUGCUCAGAUUUUCCAUCCUUUUUUGGGAAUUCCAGCUGCUGAAUUCCAUGGAAGCCUGAGCUGGAGCCACAGACACGGCCCUGCUCUGAAUUCCCGCUUUUCCAAGGGGUUUUCCAAAGGGUUUGGAGGAGGAGAUGGACUUGGACAUGAGUUUGUUCCAGUGGGAGGAGGGAGAACAUUUGGGAAGGAAGGAGAACAUUCCCAAAGUUCUGAGUGGUUUGGAGGAAAAACCAUCCCAGCUAAAUGAAAAUCCAAAAUUUUUUUUGGGAUUCUGAGCAUCACUCAGGGCAAAAAUUCCCUGAGUUUGUUCCAGUGGGAGGAGGGAGAAUGGAAGGAGGGAGAACAUUUGGGAAGGAAGGAGAACAUUCCCAAAGCCAAAGGAAAAUCCCAAA
This 410-nucleotide long non-coding RNA is filed under the name Zonotrichia albicollis (white-throated sparrow). RNAcentral describes it as "lncRNA (ENSZALG00000009120.1)". The record is from RNAcentral. Lineage: Eukaryota; Metazoa; Chordata; Aves; Passeriformes; Passerellidae.